Molecule: long non-coding RNA, 839 nt
Organism: Bos taurus (domestic cattle)
Lineage: Eukaryota; Metazoa; Chordata; Mammalia; Artiodactyla; Bovidae
Source: Ensembl
GCCAGGCUGUGACCGAGGGGUGGCUGAGUGGUGGCUAGGCCAGCUGCUGGACAGGGAGAGGUCUGGCCGCAGAGGGAGAAACGAUGGGGGAGCCAGGAAGGCAAAGCAUGGGACGGGAGACAGGGAGCUAAGGGAGCCACACACAUGAUGUCCUGGAGCCCACGGUCUGGGGUCAGAGCUGCGGUGAACACAGAAAGGCACUGUGACAUGUAAAACACGACAGCGUGAUGCUCGGGGCUUGGAUAGGCCCCCAGGCUGACGCCGCCUCCGUGUGAGGAAGUCAGGCAGCUUCCACGUGGGGCUGCCACUAAGGUGCCUGGGGAGGCGCCUGCUCAGAGAGGGCACAGUGCCAGCAGAGGACCCAGUCUGGAUUCAGGGACUGAAGCUGAUCUGUGGGCGGGCUGGCCGCCCCUGCUCUGUGUCCCUCACGGGGAUGUUGGGAGGAUCCUGGGCUGUCAGCACUGGGGUGUGUUUUGUAUGAACCAAAUAUCACUCAAAGCGGGGGUUGUUUAUCCAUGUGCCCUGGAGACCCCCAAGCACUGCUGCCCUUCCAGCUGCAAGAGGAGAAGGGAGCCCCGCCACCACCACUGUGUGCAGCAAAUGCUGUAAUUCUGCCAUCCUUCGUCCUUUGAGGGGGGGCUAUGGGGACCUUAGAGGUCACAUGGAAUCCAACUCCCACAAUUCACAGAUGAAAAAUUGAGAAGGGGGUUCACAAACGCAUGAAGGGUUAAUGGCAGAAAUGGUGGGCUGCUCCUCCUACUGCUGCUAACCAAACACGAGGAUACUGGCGGCGGCGGUGAAAGGACUGAGAGCUCAGCGCUCCCCCAGCUCCCUUGGGC